Molecule: small RNA, 1708 nt
Filed under: Monomorium pharaonis (pharaoh ant)
Lineage: Eukaryota; Metazoa; Arthropoda; Insecta; Hymenoptera; Formicidae
Description: uncharacterized LOC105830125
Source: RNAcentral
UCGGCUGAAGCAAUAAUCACGAAAAUGAACGUUUUGCUCCAGAAACAUGGGGCUAAACACAUAUGUAAGGUCCCGGAAGGAUUGCGCGAAUUAUGCACCGACAUCGCACGCGAGGUUCUACGCUCGCAACCGAGGAACAUUUAUUGCUUUGUUGCUGAUUAUGUUGAAGCGCUUUUGAUCACACGGGAAAAUGCCAAAGUCGCGGUGAAAGUCGUAAACAAUAUUUUAUCGGGGAGCCAGGCCAUCGUGGGUAUACUUCACCGGAGCGGCUUGAGUUUAGAGCAGAUCGCCCGCGUCGCGCCCAGGAUUCAGAUGGCGUUCCGCGAAUACUUGGACGCGGUAGACAUGCGAGCGGCCCAGGUGUGCGACGACGCGACUUGCGACGAGAGGUCCAGGGUAUCCCUGCAAAAUAUUUUAGAGACGACGGGGGUCCCGCUGGAACAGGCGAAGAAGCAUGCGACGAUAAUACAAGCCGCUUUCCGCGGACAUUACGAGAGGAUGCUGUUAAACGAGUCCCGUGGCAUGAUUCAAUGGCAACGAGCGGCAACAAGGACCCUCGAGAUCCUAAGGAAGGCAGGAGCUUCGCAAGCAGAGGCGUCGAAAGCUGCCAUUAUAAUACAGGCUACUUACCGCGGAUAUUAUACGAGGAGAAACCUAAAAAUGAAAAUGAGUAAGAGCACUCAUUGUCAGAUGCGCUUCGGUGCAUAAUUUAAAAUCAUGUUUGCGAUCUUUUAUCUAUGCAACCGCAAGAGGAAGAGAAAAAAAGCCAAGUGGACAUGAUAGAAUCCAAAGAACCUGUUCAAGCGGUAGCCUGGCUGGAUAUGAUGUACGAGGAUUCAGGGCUGACACCGACGAGAGCGAACGAAGCUGCAUCCGUUAUACAAAAAGCUUACAGACGGUAUCGUCAGAAAAGAAGUAAUCCUACUCCACCGAUAGAAUUGAAAAAAUCGAUAGUGGCGGAUGUCAUACUCAAAAAUUUGUGUCAGAAGGUUUUCGAUGAAGUCAUGGCCCGCGCGGAUAUUCCCAUGGAAUUCGGUAAUCGAGAGGAUCUGGCGAAAGCUGGCGAGAAACUUCAACGCGCUUUUAAAGAUCGAUUGAUGCGUGCUCGUAUAGCAGAGGAAGAGUACGAAGAUGAACCCAUUGAAGAAGAAUCCGACGAAUCGUUUGAGAAACUGGUAAAUUCGAUCGACGUGGCGGAAGAUUGGCAAGAAGGUCGAGAGAUCGAAGUAAAAUCUGAACGUGACGAAGAAACAGACGCGUACGUGCAAGACUAGUUUCGAAAAGAGAAAGCUGAAUUUUCUGGGAAUUGGGAGGGAAAAAGUGUCGCGAUGCUGCGGAAUCCUUUCCAGAGACCGUUAGGACGAGCCAAUUAACACGGAAGCGGUGGACGGAAAGAGGUGCAAGGAAAGAAUGAAAUGGACAACGAAUCCGGCAACCAAAAAGCUGCCUGCCGAAUGCCGCUUUUUAAAUGCACAUCCUUACGUUCAAUAAUUCCGUUAACGUGCCGCGCUUCCAUAGCGAGCUUAAAAUUCUUCCGUGCGAAGAUUGACUCUCCGUGGUACGCGUAUUACAAGUAAAACGAGUUAAAAGUUAAUUGUCCCGUUUAUAUAAUGUUAAUUUAAUUCGAACUAAUGUGAACUAUACCGUUUUAUGGGCUCAUUUAAAAUUUGAUUUGCAUAAUUUUUAUUCUCAACGUUUAGUGUUUUAA